GGGCACUUCGUUCAGUGGCUAGGACAGCGGUCUCCAAAACCGCAUACGGGAGUUCGACUCUCCCAGUGCCCGCCA
Molecule: transfer RNA, 75 nt
Filed under: Minisyncoccota bacterium
Lineage: Bacteria; Bacillati; Minisyncoccota
Description: tRNA-Trp
Rfam family: tRNA
About the family: Transfer RNA (tRNA) molecules are approximately 80 nucleotides in length.
Source: RNAcentral